Long non-coding RNA from Chelonia mydas (Green sea turtle), 2028 nucleotides. RefSeq lists it as uncharacterized. The transcript is spliced from 3 exons. Lineage: Eukaryota; Metazoa; Chordata; Testudines; Cheloniidae. The record is from RefSeq and is a predicted model, not a curated record.
GGCAGCAGAAAGGGGCUGCAGUGUGGAAGCCUGCAGUCGCUCUCUAGCCUUAGAGAGGGAAAGGGGGGGAAACCAAGGGGAGAAGAGAAAUCCUGGCCCUGAGGAAAGGGUCUGAUAGAGGUAUAGUAAGAGCAGCCUAGGGAAAUAGUAGCAAGGUUUGGGACAGUGCAGACCUUGGCUGCUGGUUGUAGGGUCCCUGGGCUGGAACUUGGAGUAGUGGGUAGGCCCAGUUUCCUUUACUAGCUACUGGAGAGGCUGCACAGAUCAGUUAGUGAAGCAGAAGACUGCCUAGGAAAAUCAUCUAGUGGGACUUUGGUCCCCUGGAAGGGGGAAACAUACAGUGACUUGGCCAGAAGGCCAAGUCAUGAAGAGAGAGCACACUGAAUUGCAGAGAGACAGAAAGAGAUGUGUGAAUGAGUGACAGCAGGGGGCAUUGGAUGUAAGUGAAGCUAAUCCCCAGAGCAGCCAGGAGGAGGUGCACCUAAUGCCAACCAGGAAUUACCCUACCUGAGACAGAUGAGUGUGGCUUCUCACCUGGGAGUUACUUCCAAAGUACUUUGAAAGACAAUAAGGCACAGUGCCAGUGGGAGAAGAAGCAGCAGGACAAUUCCUUCAAGACAGACUCCAUUUUCCUUACCUCACAGCUGGAAAUAGACUGGUAGUAUCCUUCAGAAGCAUCCAUUUCAAUGAUUCAAUAGACUAUUAAAGAGAUGGGUACAAGUUCCAAGUUGUCUAUCUUACACCUAAGAAGACAAAGGUACCAGGCCUUUGAUUUUAGGAGAUGGAUCCUGACUAGGAGUUUAGUCAGUCAUCGUGAUGAAAUCAGCACCCUGAACCAAGUCUACCUUGUUAAAUUGUAAUCACUAGAAAGCAUUUUAUCUUUGUUUCUCUCUUAAUCAUUUUUGACUUUAAUCCUUAUACUUGUAUCAAUUUAAAAUCAAACUUGUUUUAUUUUUAAUUUAAACCAUUCUAGUGCUGUUUGACCUGAACUGUUUGGAAAUUCCAGUUUCCGGUAAACUGUUGAAUACUGACUCUUUAAAGAAGCAACAAACCAUAACGUUCCUCUUUGUUCCAGGACAGAGCUGGAUAUUUCAGAAGACACGUUCUGGGGGAAAUUUGGGGCUGAGGAAAGUUUGAUGUCACCUUACCAGUUGUUAACCAAGGCUGCUGGAGACCAGUGGAAGUCUAUGAUAUUGCAGCCAGGUUCCUGGAUCCAAAGCAUUUGAUCAUGGCUGCUCAAUACAUAGACCUAGGGUGCAUGCUUGUUGCUGACUAUGAGUAGCCUGUCAGAGCUACAAUAGCAAAGCCUUUAAGGCACUAAAGGGCUAUGGGUAAGAGGUGACACAACUCUUUACUGAUCCGGCUUGUACCCCAGAACAUGACAGCUGCCUGUAAUAAGUUACAUCCCUGGGCAAAUGGCUUGGUAGCAACUAACUAGGUGCUGAUUGUCUGGCAGCGGUGCCCUCAGACACUCUUCCUGGGGUACACCCAAAACCCCCUCCUGCCAGCUCCCAGGUGCAGGCACUCACCACAGCUCCCCUCCCCCUACUUGUAGGAGCGCUUAAGGCUGUUGCUGAGUGAAUACUGUGGGCAGAGCAGAGGGGACAUGGGCAGUUGGGGGGAGGGGACCCCUGGCACAGAAGCUGGCCCCAUAGCUGCAGUGAGGAGCAGUUAUGCUGGCUGCCUGCUCAGGUUUGGUGUGGAAGCCCUCCAUCAUGACGGGGAAGGGGAUUGCAGCAGGGCCAAAACUGAGUGACAUUGUGACCUGGUGCAUGAGGGCCACAGUGCUACUCAGGUUUGGCCCCCACAGCCUCUCUUUCACAAUGGAGGGUCUGAGGGCAAACCUGAGUGGGCACUGGGGCAGCCAACACUGCUUCUCCUCAACUUGGCACCCCUGCCAAUGGUACACACUGUGCGUAACAUGCGUACAGCUGUGGGUACCACUGGUGACCAGCCUUACUUCCCCUGCCCCCACUUCUGUGCGGGGACCGAGCACAGUUGCCGUGCCAGUGCUGUGAGCUCUCCCUC